Molecule: long non-coding RNA, 268 nt
Organism: Alligator sinensis (Chinese alligator)
Lineage: Eukaryota; Metazoa; Chordata; Crocodylia; Alligatoridae
Exons: 3
Source: RefSeq, a predicted model, not a curated record
GGAAGUGGGGAGGAGGAUUUGGUAGGAAGAAUGUGUGCAUGAAGAGAGAAUUCCUUAAAUGAAGAUGCAUGGGAACAAGAAAUGGACCUUUCCCGACACACAUCUUUUGGAUCAUCAAGGAUUGUCUCAGAGGUUUUGUUCAUAUUGAACUCACUUUAGCAAAACUCUCUUGACUGCAAUGAGAAUUUUACCUAAAUAGAAGCCAUCGGGAAACAAAAACCAAAACCAGCCAACCCUGCACAUUUUGAUUGAGAGCUGAAAGUCGACC